GUAAAAUCCGGAUAAGAAUGCUGACUAAGAUCGCAUUUUAUUAACAACGAUUUAAUUAUGUCAACGUGAGGUAAACAAUUUUAGCAGCCGGAUUCAAUUGAAUAAAAUUUUAUGGGAGUAUUUGAAUUCGCAAAAGUAGAUCGCUUAGCAGGUUGAUCAAAAACAUGCUUUUUGUCAAAAUUGGUGUCAAAGCAGACCUCGGCAAAGAAAAAAUUCAAAUUUUGAUAUAACAUUGAUGAAUUAAUUUUAAUGGGCGCCGAUCUUAUAAAAGCAGAUUGCCCAGCAGAGCCGUUUAUGUAACUUGCUUAAAU
RNAcentral lists this long non-coding RNA (311 nucleotides) under Mytilus galloprovincialis (Mediterranean mussel). Lineage: Eukaryota; Metazoa; Mollusca; Bivalvia; Mytilida; Mytilidae. The record is from RNAcentral.